GCCUUCGUGGUGUAGUGGUCAGCACGUUCGACGUGUAUUCGAGAUGCCCGUGGUUCGAGUCCCGGCAAUGUCA
Molecule: non-coding RNA, 73 nt
Organism: Stegodyphus mimosarum
Lineage: Eukaryota; Metazoa; Arthropoda; Arachnida; Araneae; Eresidae
Source: Rfam